GCGUCCGUAGCUCAAAUGGAUAGAGCAUCAGCCUCCGGAGCUGAUGGUUGCGGGUUCAAAUCCCGCCGGACGCA
Molecule: transfer RNA, 74 nt
Filed under: Aquificota bacterium
Lineage: Bacteria; Pseudomonadati; Aquificota
Description: Aquificae bacterium tRNA-Arg
Rfam family: tRNA
About the family: Transfer RNA (tRNA) molecules are approximately 80 nucleotides in length.
Source: RNAcentral